GAUGAACGCUGGCGGCGUACCUAAUACAUGCAAGUCGAGCGAACAGACGAGGAGCUUGCUCCUCUGACGUUAGCGGCGGACGGGUGAGUAACACGUGGAUAACCUACCUAUAAGACUGGGAUAACUUCGGGAAACCGGAGCUAAUACCGGAUAAUAUAUUGAACCGCAUGGUUCAAUAGUGAAAGGCGGUUUUGCUGUCACUUAUAGAUGGAUCCGCGCCGCAUUAGCUAGUUGGUAAGGUAACGGCUUACCAAGGCGACGAUGCGUAGCCGACCUGAGAGGGUGAUCGGCCACACUGGAACUGAGACACGGUCCAGACUCCUACGGGAGGCAGCAGUAGGGAAUCUUCCGCAAUGGGCGAAAGCCUGACGGAGCAACGCCGCGUGAGUGAUGAAGGUCUUCGGGUCGUAAAACUCUGUUAUUAGGGAAGAACAAAUGUGUAAGUAACUAUGCACGUCUUGACGGUACCUAAUCAGAAAGCCACGGCUAACUACGUG
RNAcentral lists this ribosomal RNA (497 nucleotides) under uncultured bacterium. RNAcentral's name for it is "partial 16S ribosomal RNA". It matches the Rfam family "Bacterial small subunit ribosomal RNA", at positions 28 to 507 of the family's 1533-position model. The record is from RNAcentral.